CGACUCGCCGAAUGAGUUUCUGACCUAUCAACUCGAGACGGCGGGGUAGAGGCCCGCCGCGGUAACGACGGGUAACGGGGAAUCAGGGUUCGAUUCCGGAGAGGGAGCCCGAGAAACGGCUACCACUUCCAAGGAAGGCAGCAGGCGCGCAACUUACCCUAAUCUCGAUUCGAGGAGGUAGUGACAAGAAAUACCGAUGCGGGACCCUACGGGGUGCCGCGUUCGGAAUGAGUACGAUUCGAACCACCUAACGAGGAACGAUCGGAGGGCAAGUCUGGUGCCAGCAGCCGCGGUAAUUCCAGCUCCAAUAGCGUACGUUAAAGUUGCUGCAGUUAAAAAGCUCGUAGUUGAACGUUCGGGUUCCGCGGGACGGGGCCGCCCCGCGAGGGACGGCGCCGCCCCGGGGCUCGUGAUAUCUUAUCUCGCCGCCCGUCGCGAGGCGGACGGAGGGAUGGAUGAGGUUACCUGGAAAAAAAUCGGGG
RNAcentral lists this ribosomal RNA (482 nucleotides) under uncultured eukaryote. RNAcentral describes it as "bacterial SSU rRNA". It matches the Rfam family "Eukaryotic small subunit ribosomal RNA", at positions 288 to 772 of the family's 1831-position model. The record is from RNAcentral.